UUGGAAACCGGCACUAAAUGUGGGGAUGGAAAGGUGUGCAGCCAGAAUGAGUGCAUGGAGCUUCAGACAGCGUACAGAAACACAAACUGUUCAGCAGAAUGCAGCGGCAACGUUGUGUGUAAUCACAGAAGUGAGUGUCACUGUGAGCCUGGCUGGGA
Sebastes umbrosus (honeycomb rockfish) is the source of this 158-nucleotide long non-coding RNA. RefSeq lists it as uncharacterized. The transcript has 3 exons. The record is from RefSeq and is a predicted model, not a curated record. Lineage: Eukaryota; Metazoa; Chordata; Actinopteri; Perciformes; Sebastidae.